RNAcentral lists this ribosomal RNA (403 nucleotides) under Fusobacteriota bacterium. RNAcentral describes it as "Fusobacteria bacterium partial 16S ribosomal RNA". It matches the Rfam family "Bacterial small subunit ribosomal RNA", at positions 355 to 776 of the family's 1533-position model. Lineage: Bacteria; Fusobacteriati; Fusobacteriota. The record is from RNAcentral.
UGGGGAAUAUUGCACAAUGGAGGGAACUCUGAUGCAGCGACGCCGCGUGAGUGAUGAAGGAAUUCGUUUCGUAAAACUCUGUUCUAUGGGAAGAAAAGGACUGUACCAUAGGAGAAAGCUCCGGCUAAAUACGUGCCAGCAGCCGCGGUAAUACGUAUGGAGCGAGCGUUGUCCGGAAUUAUUGGGCGUAAAGGGUACGUAGGCGGUUUAAUAAGUCCUAAUUAAAAGGCUAUGGCUCAACCAUAGUAUGGUUAGGAAACUGUUGAACUUGAGUAGAUGAGGGGAAAGUGGAAUUCCAUGUGUAGCGGUGAAAUGCGUAGAUAUAUGGAGGAACACCAAUGGCGAAGGCAACUUUCUGGAAUCAAACUGACGCUGAGGUACGAAGGCGUGGGGAGCAAACAGG